CACGCACGGCGGCGGCGGGAGCAGCCCCUUGACGGACGACGAGGCGGCCGCCGCCGCCGCCAACGCCUGAGCGUUUCAUGGGAUGUCUUCCAGCCUGGUGACUCAUAUCCUUCCUGCGUGAGAAAGUUCCUCUGUCCCGGGCAGCUGCGGAUCAGAGCACUCCCUAACACAAGAGAUGCUGGGAUCUGGAGCAACACGCGCAAAGUGCUGGAGGGACUGAGCAGGUCGGGCAGCAUCGAUGGAGCGAAAUAAAGAGUCGACGUUUCGAGUCCAGACCCGUCAUGGCGCCGUGGCGACACGUUGCAAGCUGCUCUCUACAGAUCUACUCAUUACCCUUACUAUAAUCGUUCUACACUUUUAAAUUUAAACUCUAUGUCACUAACUAUACAUCAAUGCACUCUGUACUAACUCAAUGUAACUGCACUGUGUAAUGAAUUGACCUGUACGAUCAGUUUGCAAGACAAGCUUUUUACUGUACCUCGGUACAAGUGACAAUAAUAAACCAAUACCAAUUGA
Molecule: long non-coding RNA, 516 nt
Organism: Pristis pectinata (smalltooth sawfish)
Lineage: Eukaryota; Metazoa; Chordata; Chondrichthyes; Rhinopristiformes; Pristidae
Exons: 2
Source: RefSeq, a predicted model, not a curated record